UGCUCGGAAAUCCUGCUGAAAUCUUCCAUUGGCUGGAUCCACAAGAAAGCCAGAAGAUAGGGGAGCCAGGUCCAUACAGUCUGUAGAGGUUCCGGACAAAUGAAAAUAUCCAGCACACCAUUUCUACAACCUUGGGUUUAUCAUGCUUUGAAGUACUAGUUCAAAAGGAAGAAAUGUUUCCACUAGAGGACCCAGCCAUAGCUCCAUUGAAUUGGAAGCUGAAACUGCCCCCUGAUCAGUUUGGUUCCUCAUCAUGAUGGAAUUGGAAUAACUGAUCCUAAUUACCAAGAGGAAAUUGGGUUGCAGCUAUACAAUGAGGGCAAGGGGAAAUGUGCAUGACUCCCAAAGAUUCACUGAGCAUAUGUUAAUACUCCCAUGUGCAAUAAUAAUGAUCAUUAGAUAACUACAGUAACCUGAUAAAGUCAGGAGCACUUAAAUUUCAGACCAUACAGGAAUUAAAGUGUUGUAUCACCAUACCAGGUAAAAAAUCCUAAUCUACUAAGAUACUGUAUAGAGCAAGGGAAACAAAAGUGAAUGAAGUAGGAAAUUAUGAUUAUCAAUUUUAGCCUAGCAACAAUCUAUAGAGGCAGGGACUACUGUAGCUCUGUAUAUAAAACGUUAAUUGAUUAUUUCUUCCCUGCCCUUCCUUUCCCUCUUUCCUUGAAUGAAGAAUACUGAUGGAGACAAACAUUAUAAUUUAGUUUCUAGGUCAGAGUAUUGCCGUCACCUCAAAGCAAUAUAGUACUUGGUAGGACUCUGUGAUUCUCAUGUUUAGGGGAUGCGUUUCUCUCCAUCUGAGCAAAGGGAAAGAAUAAAUACUGGGUGGCAAAACAGGUAGACUAUCCCGGUCUUCUAUUUGCCUCCCCUCAUAUCCAUUCUCCCCCCUUCCUUGCCCUAUUCUAUACCCCAGCAGCUGACCUCUUUGGAAAACAGCACCUGGGCUCUUCUCAGCUGGCUUCCAUUUGGGUUGGGACUUUGGAGGCAUCCACAGGAGACAGGAGGCAGGAGAAAAGAGAGGUCAUUCCAGAAAGAUGAGGAUAUACAGUAUCUUUACAUUCAUGGCUUACUGUUGUUUGCUGAAAGCAUUUACUAUCACAGUUCCCAAGGACCUGUAUGUGGUAGAAUAUGGCAGCAAUGUGACAUUGGAAUGCAGAUUUCCAGUAGACAAACAAUUAAACCUGUUGGCAUUAGUUGUUUACUGGGAAAUGGAGGAUAAGAAAAUUAUUCAGUUUGUGAAUGGGGAGGAAGACCUGAAUGUUCAACACAGUAGCUACAACCAGAGGGCCCUGCUGUUGAAGAACCAGCUCCCCUUGGGGAAGGCCGCACUUCAGAUAACAGAUGUGAAAUUGCAGGAUGCAGGAAUUUACUGCUGCUUGAUCAGCUAUGGCGGUGCCGACUACAAGCGGAUUACUUUGAAAGUCAAUGCUUCAUACCGCAAAAUCAACCAAACAAUUUCUGUGGAUCCAGUCACCUCUGAACAUGAACUAAUGUGUCAGGCUGAGGGUUACCCUGAGGCUGAAGUCAUCUGGACAAACAGUGACCACCGAGUCCUGAGUGGCAAAACCACCAUUACCAGUUCCAAGAGGGAGGAGAAGCUUUUCAAUGUGACCAGCACACUAAGAAUCAACACAACAGCUAACGAGAUUUUCUACUGCAUUUUUCGGAGAUUAGGUCAUGAGGAAAACAGUACAGCUGAAUUGGUCAUCCCAGAACCAUAUCCAGAUCCAGCAAAAAAGAGGACUCACUUGGUGAUUCUGGGAGCUCUCCUGUUGUUCCUUAGUGUAACCCUGACAAUCAUCUUCUAUCUAAAAAGAGAUGGUAUUUCCUUUAUUGUAAUAGUCUCCAUUGGGGUUGAGGAGAAGUGUAUGAGAGUGCUACUGUUGUCACAAUGGCACUUAGUGGGCAGAGCCAGGGAUGCUAAAUCUCCUGUAAUCUGCAGAACAGUCCCAUGUAACAGGGAGCUUUUCUACCCAAAAUGCUAGAGGUGCCCCCAGCAGGAAACAGUGAUUUAUCAAAUGGUUUCCUAUUAGCUUUCCCUUCCAGGGCCAACUUUCAGUUAUGCAAAGUAGGUUUUUAGUUACUGUUCUGCAGUAUCACUUUCAUUGAAGGGCGGCAGUGAACACUUGUAGUAACCUUUCCAAGGGGGUGAGAAUUGGAUCAUGGCUGCAAGCAAACCUGACUUGCCUCUGCAAGGUAGCACAAAGACACUCCACUGUUUGAUAGCAAUUAUAGUGAAGCUGUACAGGAUUGCUGGGUGAAGAUUGUGAGAGAAAGGUUGUGUAUGGAGGUUGAAGAAGACCAAGUGUUAAACAAUUUCUUUCUGUCAUGCAAAUAACCACAGACUUACAGAAGAGAAAAAGCUAAAUGCCUGUUGGUUUCAGUUCAAUUUGUCAAGCAUUAGUUGCACUGUUAUAUUGAGCUGGUUUCUGGGACCUUUAAAUAAUAAAAAUAGUUCUUUAUGGAGAGCAGUGAUACUUUUACCAUAGAGUAGUUUGCAAGAUUUCUGGCUGAGGGUGUUAUAUAGAUUUUAAAAUAAUUUUAAUGUGUGUAUUUCUCUAUUUACCCAAGGGGGCAAUUAAAAUUCAGGGAAACGUGGCUAUUCAAAUAAUUUCCUUUCAUUUUAAGAUGAUUCAGAGCGAACAUUUCCCCAGUACUUUGAGAAGUACACCAAAGGAUCUGAUGAUGAUCUGUGUAUAGAGUUAUCUGAUGACAAAUAGGGAAGUGGAAAAUGGAAGGGAAUUCCAAUAGUCGUUGAGAAAUUCCCUACAACCCCUUAAGAGGUGGGUGGAUCUGGGAAAGUGGUGUAAUUGAGGGAGUGGAGGUCAGCUUCUUCUAAUGAACAAGUACUUAACAGAACUGAGAUAGCCAGAGUAUAAGGAUCAAGUUUCAGUGAUAGGAAGACCUGAGAUGGCUUUGAUUUGUCCAAGGAAGUGGCUGUGGCCAACUUGCAUUUCCAUGUGAAAAAUAAUUAGUUGGCAUUAGAAACGACUAGAUAACCAGCGUAUAAUAAAGUAUCUCAGAAUAUGGUACAUCUCUGGGGGAAGAAUGGAAAAUAUAAGUAUAUACUCCUGAAUAAAAUCUAGAAAAUUUUGAAUUAAUUAAACUGUUGAAUUAACCUCAGGGGUUGGGACUCCUGGAAUAUGGAAGUCUACCAGAUUUCCUAAGGGAUUAAAAAUGUUUCAUAGGAACCUGGGAUUUAAACUUGAGUCACUGUGUGGGAUGUAGAGUUGUGUUAUAUGGAAAUAAAAAUAAUUUUUUUUUCAAGUGGAAGUGAUGGAUAUGGAAAAAUGUGGCACCCGAGAUAUGAACUCAAAGCAGCAAAAUGAUACACAAUUUGAGGAGACGUAAUCCGACGUUGAAACUUCUGAUCUUAAAGCAGGGAUUCUCAGCCUGUGGUUUGGGUUCGUCAGGGCUAGGCAUGACCAGAGGCAUGCAAUGGGCCAGUGGGCUGCAGAUGAUGUAGAACUUAAAAGGCCCAAGCUCUGAAAAUGGAAGCUGGGAAAGAAGAAGAGAACAAAGGAAGAAGGAGUAAAAAAGGUAGCCUUAGCCUGGAAGGAAACCUUGGUACUUCAAAAUGACUGGGAGACUCAUCAAUGCAUAUGAAAAGGAGAAAGGACACUUCUGAAUGAUAAAUCUCCACGCAAAUUAUCCAUCACUCAUCCUAGGAAAACAGGUUGAGAUUCCCUGAUUUAAUGGUCAGUUCCUGCAGAAGUGCCCUUUGCCUUCACUCAGUGUUGAUUUGUCUUCUGGGUAAUUGAGAGUCCCAGUGUUGCAACAGUACUUAAGUAUGAGUUAUUUUUAUUUAUUUUAAGUCUGUGGGGUCUUGUCAUGUGAGUGUGGUUGUGAGUGAUUUCUUUUGAAGAUAUGCUGUAUUAGAAGUUAAAAUUAUGUCACCAGACCAAACUUACUGCUUGAUGACUUGUGUGUGUCCAGCAAAAUAUAGUAUUUGUAAGUUGCUUGAUAUCCUCUAUAACUAUCAGUACAUAGGAACCAUAGAGAACAAACCAUUGGUUUGUAUAGGAUAUUACCUUAUUUAACCCAUUGAUACUUUGACUGACUUGGAUAAUCUUAUUCUCAGACCUCAAAGUAAGAUACAUUACCAAAAUAUGUUACGUUUAAGUAUCAGCUUUACAACUAUGUGUACACAUAAUCUCAUUUCAUUCCUGUAGCAGCUGUGUUAUAGCAAGCACUAUUCUACCCAUUUCACAGCUGAGGGAGCAAAGAUAAAAUAACGUGCCCAAGACAAUAAACAGCAGACCUCAGAUAUCCGAGACUGUCACCCACUGUCCUUUUAUUUCUUUCUUUUAAUUAAGGUGUAGUUGAUUUACAAUGUUGUGCCGAUCUUUGCUGUACAGCAAAGUAACUCAGUUAUACACAUAUACACAUUCUUUUUAAUAUUUUUUUAAUUAAAAAAUUUUUUUAACCACUGUCCUUUUAGAAUACAAUUUACAGCUCUGUUUUACUUUAAGAAAUUCAUUCAUUCAGUGAACAUUUAGGAAGCGCCCUACCAUGUUAAUCACUGUGCCAGGCAGAGUAUACAGAUGUGAGCAAGAUAAAGCACUUCCCCUCGAGGAGCUCAUAGUAUCAUGGGGACAGCAGUAAGAAAAUGUAUUGCUACAACAUGGUGCAUUAUCAUAGUAUACGGUGUUCGAGGAGAAUGCUUGUAUGAGGAGGAAAGUCUAGAAAUGCUGCCGAAGGAGGGGACGCUCUGGGUAGCCAGCCAGUGUGUUCCUGGACAGUUGAAAAUACUUAAACAUUUUAAUAAUCAAAGCAAUUUUAGUUUAUGAGAUGUCAGAUUUUUUAAAACUGUGGAAAACAGCUCUUGAAUUCCUUUUCUAUGACUAUAUUUACCCCUGAUUUGUUUGCCUUUGCCAUGCAAUUUGAUGUUUAUUUAUAUAGUGCCUAGUAUUGUCUAGCAGUUUUCUUUUUUAUUUAAAUGCAAUUGAAUUUUGAAUUCAUACUUUUUUAUGAUUCAAAAUUCAAAAAGUCCAGUAGGAGACAUUAAAAAGUCUCUAUUCCAUCCUCCUACUCAUCUAGUUUCCCUUUCCAGAAGCAAUAACACUUGUCUUUUGUUUAUUUGUCUUCUAAAGAUAUUCUAUGAACAUAUGUGGAAAUGUUUGUAAAAUGUGUAUAUAUUUUUAGUUUUUGCUCUUUUUCACAUAAGUAGUAAUGCAUUAUGCGUCUUCUGUGCCCUUUGCUAUUUUUAUUUAAUAUACUAUUUCUUAUGUAGUAGACAGAACAAAUUUGAAGUUCCCAGUGGCUGGGUACUAUGUCUUGUUUGUUCUAGGUCAUCUUUUCCAUAGUCUCUUAGUAUCUUUCAUAUGAUGUAGUACAUACUAAAGAGUUACUACAUCUACAUUUAGACAACCAGCAUUUGUCGAGUACUUGCUCUAUGACUGUGUUUGGAUUUGGUUUAUUUUGUGUUUCUCAAAGAGAGAAUGUGUUUCUCAAAAUGGAUUUUCCAGGGUACAUGGGGUCAACCUGGCUCUAAAGGAUGACUUUAUUGCUAAGUCUGUAUGACAGAAUCAUGUCUGGAACUUGUUUUUUUUCUGUUUUCUCUUGAGUAUAAACUUGAAUUCGGGG
RNA transcript from Aethalodelphis obliquidens (Pacific white-sided dolphin), 5583 nucleotides. It is a transcript of the gene named CD274 molecule, with no coding region annotated. The record is from RefSeq and is a predicted model, not a curated record. Lineage: Eukaryota; Metazoa; Chordata; Mammalia; Artiodactyla; Delphinidae. The transcript has 6 exons.